RNAcentral lists this ribosomal RNA (3465 nucleotides) under Salmonella enterica subsp. enterica serovar Derby. RNAcentral's name for it is "bacterial LSU rRNA". It matches the Rfam family "Bacterial large subunit ribosomal RNA". The record is from RNAcentral. Lineage: Bacteria; Pseudomonadati; Pseudomonadota; Gammaproteobacteria; Enterobacterales; Enterobacteriaceae.
ACUAAGCGUACACGGUGGAUGCCCUGGCAGUCAGAGGCGAUGAAGGACGUGCUAAUCUGCGAUAAGCGCCGGUAAGGUGAUAUGAACCGUUAUAACCGGCGAUACCCGAAUGGGGAAACCCAGUGUGAUUCGUCACACUAUCAUUAACUGAAUCCAUAGGUUAAUGAGGCGAACCGGGGGAACUGAAACAUCUAAGUACCCCGAGGAAAAGAAAUCAACCGAGAUUCCCCCAGUAGCGGCGAGCGAACGGGGAGGAGCCCAGAGCCUGAAUCAGCAUGUGUGUUAGUGGAAGCGUCUGGAAAGGCGCGCGAUACAGGGUGACAGCCCCGUACACAAAAGCGCAUGUGCUGUGAGCUCGAUGAGUAGGGCGGGACACGUGGUAUCCUGUCUGAAUAUGGGGGGACCAUCCUCCAAGGCUAAAUACUCCUGACUGACCGAUAGUGAACCAGUACCGUGAGGGAAAGGCGAAAAGAACCCCGGCGAGGGGAGUGAAAAAGAACCUGAAACCGUGUACGUACAAGCAGUGGGAGCNUGAGGGAAAGGCGAAAAGAACCCCGGCGAGGGGAGUGAAAAAGAACCUGAAACCGUGUACGUACAAGCAGUGGGAGCCCCACCACUAAGCCAGUGGUGAACUCCACAUACGCAUCCUUUGCUGAGGAUACGGUUAACGGAGCGCAAGCGACGUUCAACCGCAAAAGAAGCAGAGGGGGCUUAGUGGUGGGGUGACUGCGUACCUUUUGUAUAAUGGGUCAGCGACUUAUAUUCUGUAGCAAGGUUAACCGUAUAGGGGAGCCGGAGGGAAACCGAGUCUUAAUUGGGCGUUAAGUUGCAGGGUAUAGACCCGAAACCCGGUGAUCUAGCCAUGGGCAGGUUGUAAUAGCUCACUGGUCGAGUCGGCCUGCGCGGAAGAUGUAACGGGGCUAAACCAUGCACCGAAGCUGCGGCAGCGAACGUAUCACUUAAAGCGAUUCAGCGGGUUACGAUUGACGGAGCGAAGCGACGUCAAAGCGUAUACAAAGUCGAGUCGGUUUAAGGAUACGUUCGUUGGGUAGGGGAGCGUUCUGUAAGCCUGUGAAGGUGUGUCGUGAGGCAUGCUGGAGGUAUCAGAAGUGCGAAUGCUGACAUAAGUAACGAUAAAGCGGGUGAAAAGCCCGCUCGCCGGAAGACCANAGGGAAACCGAGUCUUAACCGGGCGUUAAGUUGCAGGGUAUAGACCCGAAACCCGGUGAUCUAGCCAUGGGCAGGUUGAAGGUUGGGUAACACUAACUGGAGGACCGAACCGACUAAUGUUGAAAAAUUAGCGGAUGACCUGUGGCUGGGGGUGAAAGGCCAAUCAAACCGGGAGAUAGCUGGUUCUCCCCGAAAGCUAUUUAGGUAGCGCCUCGUGAAUUCAUCUCCGGGGGUAGAGCACUGUUUCGGCUAGGGGGCCAUCCCGGCUUACCAACCCGAUGCAAACUGCGAAUACCGGAGAAUGUUAUCACGGGAGACACACGGCGGGUGCUAACGUCCGUCGUGAAGAGGGAAACAACCCAGACCGCCAGCUAAGGUCCCAAAGUCAUGGUUAAGUGGGAAACGAUGUGGGAAGGCCCAGACAGCCAGGAUGUUGGCUUAGAAGCAGCCAUCAUUUAAAGAAAGCGUAAUAGCUCACUGGUCGAGUCGGCCUGCGCGGAAGAUGUAACGGGGCUAAACCAUGCACCGAAGCUGCGGCAGCGAUGCUGGAGGUAUCAGAAGUGCGAAUGCUGACAUAAGUAACGAUAAAGCGGGUGAAAAGCCCGCUCGCCGGAAGACCAAGGGUUCCUGUCCAACGUUAAUCGGGGCAGGGUGAGUCGACCCCUAAGGCGAGGCCGAAAGGCGUAGUCGAUGGGAAACGGGUUAAUAUUCCCGUACUUGGUGUUACUGCGAAGGGGGGACGGAGAAGGCUAUGUUGGCCGGGCGACGGUUGUCCCGGUUUAAGCGUGUAGGUGUGUGUUCCAGGUAAAUCCGGUUCACUUUAACACUGAGGCGUGAUGACGAGGCACUACGGUGCUGAAGCAACAAAUGCCCUGCUUCCAGGAAAAGCCUCUAAGCAUCAGGUAACAUCAAAUCGUACCCCAAACCGACACAGGUGGUCAGGUAGAGAAUACCAAGGCGCUUGAGAGAACUCGGGUGAAGGAACUAGGCAAAAUGGUGCCGUAACUUCGGGAGAAGGCACGCUGACAUGUAGGUGAAGUGAUUUACUCAUGGAGCUGAAGUCAGUCGAAGAUACCAGCUGGCUGCAACUGUUUAUUAAAAACACAGCACUGUGCAAACACGAAAGUGGACGUAUACGGUGUGACGCCUGCCCGGUGCCGGAAGGUUAAUUGAUGGGGUCAGCGCAAGCGAAGCUCCUGAUCGAAGCCCCGGUAAACGGCGGCCGUAACUAUAACGGUCCUAAGGUAGCGAAAUUCCUUGUCGGGUAAGUUCCGACCUGCACGAAUGGCGUAAUGAUGGCCAGGCUGUCUCCACCCGAGACUCAGUGAAAUUGAACUCGCUGUGAAGAUGCAGUGUACCCGCGGCAAGACGGAAAGACCCCGUGAACCUUUACUAUAGCUUGACACUGAACAUUGAGCCUUGAUGUGUAGGAUAGGUGGGAGGCUUUGAAGCGUGGACGCCAGUCUGCGUGGAGCCGGCCUUGAAAUACCACCCUUUAAUGUUUGAUGUUCUAACGUGGACCCGUGAUCCGGGUUGCGGACAGUGUCUGGUGGGUAGUUUGACUGGGGCGGUCUCCUCCUAAAGAGUAACGGAGGAGCACGAAGGUUGGCUAAUCCUGGUCGGACAUCAGGAGGUUAGUGCAAUGGCAUAAGCCAGCUUGACUGCGAGCGUGACGGCGCGAGCAGGUGCGAAAGCAGGUCAUAGUGAUCCGGUGGUUCUGAAUGGAAGGGCCAUCGCUCAACGGAUAAAAGGUACUCCGGGGAUAACAGGCUGAUACCGCCCAAGAGUUCAUAUCGACGGCGGUGUUUGGCACCUCGAUGUCGGCUCAUCACAUCCUGGGGCUGAAGUAGGUCCCAAGGGUAUGGCUGUUCGCCAUUUAAAGUGGUACGCGAGCUGGGUUUAGAACGUCGUGAGACAGUUCGGUCCCUAUCUGCCGUGGGCGCUGGAGAACUGAGGGGGGCUGCUCCUAGUACGAGAGGACCGGAGUGGACGCAUCACUGGUGUUCGGGUUGUCAUGCCAAUGGCACUGCCCGGUAGCUAAAUGCGGAAGAGAUAAGUGCUGAAAGCAUCUAAGCACGAAACUUGCCCCGAGAUGAGUUCUCCCUGAGACUUNAGCUAAAUGCGGAAGAGAUAAGUGCUGAAAGCAUCUAAGCACGAAACUUGCCCCGAGAUGAGUUCUCCCUGAGACUUAGAGUCUCCUGAAGGAACGUUGAAGACGACGACGUUGAUAGGCCGGGUGUGUAAGCGCAGCGAUGCGUUGAGCUAACCGGUACUAAUGAACCGUGAGGCUUAACC